Long non-coding RNA from Sinocyclocheilus grahami, 262 nucleotides. RefSeq lists it as uncharacterized. The record is from RefSeq and is a predicted model, not a curated record. Lineage: Eukaryota; Metazoa; Chordata; Actinopteri; Cypriniformes; Cyprinidae. The transcript has 3 exons.
ACAUCUGUCCAGCUCCUAAACACUUCUUGCCCUGCUGUGUCCUUCUGUUCACCAGACCGCUGUCCUUCAAGUCUACAGCAGCAAGAUCCAAGAUGAUGACCUCCUAAUAUCCAGAAUUAGUUUCAGAUCAAACAAUAAUUGGCAGACCCCCUGCAGUACCACUGCGGACCCCCUGUCGAAGACCCCAAAGAUCAUAAAACGGACAAAAGAAUCCCAUUAAGGCAGAGAAUUCAAGCCUUUAGAGACCAGAGACUUGGUAGUG